UACAGAGGGUGCAAGCGUUAAUCGGAAUUGCUGGGCGUAAAGCGUGCGUAGACGGUUACAUAAGUCGGGUGUGAAAGCCCCGGGCUCAACCUGGGAAUUGCAUUCGAGACUGCGUAGCUAGGGUGCGGAAGAGGGAAGCGGAAUUUCCGGUGUAGCGGUGAAAUGCGUAGAUAUCAGGAGGAACACCGGUGGUGUAGACGGCUUUCUGGACCGUAACUGACGCUGAGACACGAAAGCGUGGGUAGCAAACAGG
This 253-nucleotide ribosomal RNA is filed under the name uncultured bacterium. RNAcentral's name for it is "partial 16S ribosomal RNA". It matches the Rfam family "Bacterial small subunit ribosomal RNA", at positions 524 to 776 of the family's 1533-position model. The record is from RNAcentral.